AGAGUUUGAUCCUGGCUCAGGAUGAACGCUAGCGGCAGGCCUAAUACAUGCAAGUCGAGGGGUAGAGAGAGCUUGCUCUCUUGAGACCGGCGCACGGGUGCGUAACGCGUAUGCAACCUACCUUAAUCUGGGGGAUAGCCCGAAGAAAUUCGGAUUAACACCGCAUAAAAUCACAGCACGGCAUCGUGCAAUGAUCAAAUAUUUAUAGGAUUAAGAUGGGCAUGCGUGACAUUAGUUUGUUGGUGAGGUAACGGCUCACCAAGACUACGAUGUCUAGGGGAUCUGAGAGGAUGACCCCCCACACUGGUACUGAGACACGGACCAGACUCCUACGGGAGGCAGCAGUAAGGAAUAUUGGUCAAUGGAGGCAACUCUGAACCAGCCAUGCCGCGUGCAGGAAGACGGCCCUACGGGUUGUAAACUGCUUUUGUCGGGGAAUAAACCUCUUUACGUGUAAAGAGUUGAAUGUACUCGAAGAAUAAGGAUCGGCUAACUCCGUGCCAGCAGCCGCGGUAAUACGGAGGAUCCAAGCGUUAUCCGGAUUUAUUGGGUUUAAAGGGUGCGUAGGCGGCCUAUUAAGUCAGGGGUGAAAGACGGUGGCUCAACCAUCGCAGUGCCUUCGAUACUGAUAGGCUUGAAUGAACUUGAGGUAGGCGGAAUGUGACAAGUAGCGGUGAAAUGCAUAGAUAUGUCACAGAACACCAAUUGCGAAGGCAGCUUACUAAGGUUUAAUUGACGCUGAGGCACGAAAGCGUGGGGAUCAAACAGGAUUAGAUACCCUAGUAGUCC
This 789-nucleotide ribosomal RNA is filed under the name uncultured bacterium. RNAcentral describes it as "bacterial SSU rRNA". It matches the Rfam family "Bacterial small subunit ribosomal RNA", at positions 8 to 796 of the family's 1533-position model. The record is from RNAcentral.